RNAcentral lists this ribosomal RNA (84 nucleotides) under Actinomadura sp. WAC 06369. Its description in RNAcentral is "partial 16S ribosomal RNA". The stretch from base 1 to 74 matches the Rfam family "Bacterial small subunit ribosomal RNA", at positions 1460 to 1533 of the family's 1533-position model. The record is from RNAcentral. Lineage: Bacteria; Bacillati; Actinomycetota; Actinomycetes; Streptosporangiales; Thermomonosporaceae.
AGGUGGGGCCGGCGAUUGGGACGAAGUCGUAACAAGGUAGCCGUACCGGAAGGUGCGGCUGGAUCACCUCCUUUCUAAGGAGCA